This 253-nucleotide ribosomal RNA is filed under the name uncultured bacterium. RNAcentral describes it as "partial 16S ribosomal RNA". It matches the Rfam family "Bacterial small subunit ribosomal RNA", at positions 524 to 776 of the family's 1533-position model. The record is from RNAcentral.
UACGAAGGGGGCGAGCGUUGUUCGGAAUCACUGGGCUUAAAGGGCGCGUAGGCGGGCCGCCAAGUCCGGGGUGAAAUCCUCCAGCUCAACUGGAGAACUGCCUCGGAUACUGGAGGUCUCGAGGGAGAUAGGGGCACGCGGAACUGUGGGUGGGGCGGUGAAAUGCGUUGAUAUCCAUAGGAACUCCGGUGGCGAAGGCGGCGUGCUGGAUCUCUUCUGACGCUGAGGCGCGAAAGCCAGGGGAUCAAACGUG